RNAcentral lists this ribosomal RNA (427 nucleotides) under uncultured bacterium. Its description in RNAcentral is "partial 16S ribosomal RNA". It matches the Rfam family "Bacterial small subunit ribosomal RNA", at positions 355 to 774 of the family's 1533-position model. The record is from RNAcentral.
UGGGGAAUAUUGGACAAUGGGCGAAAGCCUGAUCCAGCCAUGCCGCGUGUGUGAAGAGGGUCUUCGGAUUGUAAAGCACUUUAAGUUGGGAGGAAGGGCAUUAACCUAAUACGUUAGUGUUUUGACGUUACCGACAGAAUAAGCACCGGCUAACUCUGUGCCAGCAGCCGCGGUAAUACAGAGGGUGCAAGCGUUAAUCGGAAUUACUGGGCGUAAAGCGCGCGUAGGUGGUUUGUUAAGUUGGAUGUGAAAUCCCCGGGCUCAACCUGGGAACUGCAUUCAAAACUGACUGACUAGAGUAUGGUAGAGGGUGGUGGAAUUUCCUGUGUAGCGGUGAAAUGCGUAGAUAUAGGAAGGAACACCAGUGGCGAAGGCGACCACCUGGACUAAUACUGACACUGAGGUGCGAAAGCGUGGGGAGCAAACA